This is a long non-coding RNA of Drosophila gunungcola (fruit fly), 1777 nucleotides long. RefSeq lists it as uncharacterized. The record is from RefSeq and is a predicted model, not a curated record. Lineage: Eukaryota; Metazoa; Arthropoda; Insecta; Diptera; Drosophilidae. The transcript has 3 exons.
CAGGAGAUUUUUGUGACAUACGGAUCAACGAAUUCCUUUGACCACCUUCAAUAGAAUUUCAUAAAACCAUGUUUAAAAAAUGUCAAUAUCCGUUUGUAAGUCUGAACUGCGGAAAAUAUUGCAAUACUGCAGGCAUAACUUAACGUCAUCCGCAUACAUAAGCCAACACUUAAAUUAUUGUAAAUAUAAAUUAAAACGUAAAAAUGGAACUGCCAUGAACAUCGGCCGUAGCCGAAGCCGGAGAAGCAGCCGCAGCCGAAACCGCAUUGCUUGUAUUCUCCGUACACAUAAUACGUUCACGAUCCCUGCGCGAACACAAUGUUUCCGAAAAGUGAACUACUUGCAAAUGACGACAUUUCCCAAAGCGCAAAUCCAUCAUGUUUCCUCCAUCUCUCCAGCUAAACAACACAUCUGCGUCAAAUGACCAAGGAAUUGACGAUUUGCUUGCGGACUUUUUCCAAGGCCCUUAUUCUUUAAAUAAUCUGAUACCUAAUUUCAGUUAUCCCUACCAGCUUCCCCAUACUGACUUAAUUUUCAGUCCUUGAAUGGAGGAAAAUGAAGUUUCUCGAGUACUUGCCUUAUUCAAAAAGUCAUUUUCCACGGGUUCGGACAUGGUGCCGAGCUGUGUUCUCAAAUACUGUGCCAGCUCACUUGCAGUUCCAUUGAAAAAGAUCUUUCAAAAAUCAAUUGAUCAUUGCACCUUUCCGGACAUUUGGAAGGAAUCCUUUAUCAUUCCCCUUCACAAAAUGGGAAGCAGGACUGACUUUAGCAACUACAGCGGUAUUGACAAAUUUAGUGCCAUUCCUAAGCUUUUCAAAAAAAUCAUUUGCGAACAACUGCAGAACCAGUGUAGCUGUAUAUUAUCUUAAUAUCAACAUGGCUUUACAAAACGUCGUUCACCUACGACUAAUCUACUUGAGUUUACAACAUUCAUUAGUCAAGGCUUUCAAUCCUCAAAGCAAUCUGAUGUAAUUUUCACGAACUUUAGUAAAGCGUUCGGUCAACCAUAAGCUACUAAUUCACAAGCUUCUCGUUAUCGGAUUUCCUCCAAAUCUACUAGCGUUCCUACUCAAUCGUAAAGUAUAAAGUUUACUUCAAAACUCAGCAAGUUCCCACAUGUAGCUCAAGCUCGACUAAAACAACCUUCAAUCCUGGUGCCAAGUCCAUAAGCUAGUGGAGGAUCCAAAAAAUGUAAAUCCAUUCAAUUUUACCGAUCCAAUCCAAAUGUUUGCACAUACUACAUUGAUCAUACUGCUUUGAAGACAUAUAUACCGUUCAAGAUCUUGGUGUUCUGUUCAAACAAAAGAUUUGCUUCAAUCGCCACAUCACUACCAUUUCCAAUAAAGACAAAAGUCUUCUAGCUUUCAUCAAGCGCUGGUCUAAGGAUUUCGACGCACCAUUUUAGUGCUCUUAUGAGUCGAACUCAUUUUAAUUUACAUUUUGCUUCUUAUACAUCUCCGACAUAUAUAAACAUCAUCAGGAAGGGAAGACGGGACGAGUUUGGACGACGGAACGGAAAUGAAAUCGGCAGCCGGGACCGGGCAAAGAAGGCACCGUCAACGAAAAAGGUCACCGUUGGCGAAAUAAACAAGACAAAUAAAGAUACAUUAUACAAUAUCUGGACCACUGCAGGAAGAUUUAUUGCCGUAUUCAUAUACAUAAAAGCCGUUUAAUUCACCGCACCACACUGGCACUGGAUUUUUUAUUUGAUUUUCUUUUUGUUGAAUAUAAAACAAUUAUUGGUCUACAGAAAGUAGGUUGACCUAAUUUAAUUUAU